GACAGCGCCUCUACGGCUGGCCCAGCCGCGGGGCCUCGCCUGGGCCCCCGGGGCCAGAGGGAGUUAUGCCGGCUCCGGUCGGAAAACUCCGGGGAGUUUCGCCGCCGCCGGUGUGGAGCGGUUCUGGCUGUGCCCUGGCAGCUGAGAGGGGGCAUCUCCCGAAGCACAGCUUUGUGCAGCGGUGAGCGCUCAGCCGCCCAGACUAACCCCGUUUUUCCGGUAGAAGCAGCUGUCCCAGAAGGCUUGAAAUGUUGUGUGAAUAGUUUGUUGGUUUAACUCAGACCCUUUUGAGAGUGGAGUAAUGAGUUUUCUUUUUGCAUGGUAAGGUAGCAGUGCUUUAACAGAGAGCUGCUUUUUAUCACUGUCAGAUUUAUUUUGGAGAACUGCCUUAGUCUCCACUGCAAACAUGUUAGGUUUUGUUUGUAAUAUUUUGAAGAACACCUUUGAAAAGGAAUUAUGCUGCUUUUUAAACCCUACAUGAUGUUUGCCAGAGUUUUAACUCAUACGUUGUGUAGUUGAAUAAAUCCAUUUUUGUGGCUACCAAAGCA
Molecule: non-coding RNA, 548 nt
Organism: Agelaius phoeniceus (red-winged blackbird)
Lineage: Eukaryota; Metazoa; Chordata; Aves; Passeriformes; Icteridae
Source: RefSeq, a predicted model, not a curated record